CACGUAGGUGGCAAGCGUUGUCCGGAAUUAUUGGGCGUAAAGCGCGCGCAGGCGGUCCUUUAAGUCUGAUGUGAAAGCCCACGGCUCAACCGUGGAGGGUCAUUGGAAACUGGGGGACUUGAGUACAGAAGAGAAGAGUGGAAUUCCACGUGUAGCGGUGAAAUGCGUAGAGAUGUGGAGGAACACCAGUGGCGAAGGCGACUCUUUGGUCUGUAACUGACGCUGAGGCGCGAAAGCGUGGGGAGCAAACAGG
RNAcentral lists this ribosomal RNA (253 nucleotides) under uncultured bacterium. RNAcentral describes it as "partial 16S ribosomal RNA". It matches the Rfam family "Bacterial small subunit ribosomal RNA", at positions 524 to 776 of the family's 1533-position model. The record is from RNAcentral.